This 2657-nucleotide long non-coding RNA is filed under the name Salmo salar (Atlantic salmon). Its description in RNAcentral is "lncRNA (ENSSSAG00000093361.1)". The record is from RNAcentral. Lineage: Eukaryota; Metazoa; Chordata; Actinopteri; Salmoniformes; Salmonidae.
CAGGAGGGAGGAGAAGGUAGCAAAGAGCUUCCUAGGGUUAGAGGCAGAUGCUUGGAAUUUAGAGUGGUAGAAAGUGCCUUUAGCAGCAGAGACAGAAGAGGAGAAUGUAGAGAGGAGGGAGUGAAAGGAUGCCAGGUUCGCAGGAGGCGAGUUUUCCUCCAUUUCCGCUCGGCUGCCCGGAGCCCUGUUCUGUACAAUACAGCUAGCCUUCAACAUAUUCUUAUAGCCUACAUAUUCUUACCUCUUUGUUGAUUGAUAUCCAUUGAAUUGUGUCCAGUCUAUGUUUUGGAAAGAUUUGCAUAAAUAUGAAAAGAUAGAUGGUAUCAUCAUAAAACAAUAUCAAUUUAGAUUAUACAUGCCAAAUUAUAUUAGACAAGCCUUACCGUAAAUUGAGGAGAUCUUUACAUUUUUCAGUUAAGUGCCUUCACCUGCUGUCCUUUCAAAUUCAAAUCCAAAUGUUUCAGUUGGGCAGUUAGGUUCCUGCAAGAACCCCCACCAACUAAGGAGGUUCCUCGAUGAACCCCACCUCCUGUGGGGUUUUUGAAAGAACCUUUUGGAGGCCAUGGCCAUUUUAGGUGCCAAAAACCGUAAGGUUCUUCAAAGAACUUUGAGGACCUUAGAAGAAACCUUGAUGAACCCCUAAUUUUUAGCGUGUACCAAGGUCAUCAGUUCUGCUUUAUGUAUACUGUAUGUAUAUGUUCAAGUGACAUUUUUGUGUUGUUUUAUAUCGCUGUUAUCUUCACCUCUGGACAGGUUGUCCUUGGAAAUAAGAAUUUGUUUUUUAAAUUGACUUAUAGUACCUGUAUAAAUACUGCUCUCUUUCUUUCCCCUCCCUUCCUGCCUGCUCUCUCCCUCCUCUUUCCCUCAUCCAAUCUCUCCCCCCUGCCUCUUCUCCCUGCCACCCCUCUCACACCCUCUCUGCCCCAGAUCUUCCCUUGCCCCCUGACUCCCAUGUCCACAGAGUCAGAUUCUGAGUCUUUUGCCGAGGACCCUAUUCACAACAGGGGGCGGCUGCCCUCCAUCGUGGUGCAGACUGACGAGGCAAGCGAGAUCAGGGAGCUGCUCUGCUCCCAGGGAGCAGAGGUGGAGCAGGAGGAGGACCCCUACAACAAGCAGAGCCUCCCCCAGACAGAGAGCUGCAUCAGUGGGGACAACCAAGAGGAUAUGGUGGUGCCGCAGGGAAGAAGAAAGAGUUCUAUUACAGCUCAAUCCCUCAGCGUUGCCCGUUUGACUCCUCCCCAUUCGACCCUCCACGAGACUGCCCCGCCCAAGCCUGAGGAGAUGAGCCAAUAGGAGCGGAGCACAAACAGUGACAUAUCUACAGAACUCUUUCUGACAUAAUCUUCGGAACUCUCUCUGGACACACAGCCUGUGGAUUUUUACCUCUCUGAUAUGUAACCAAAAAUGACAUGUUUCAAGAUGACUGGAAUGUGUUUUUAUCGUUUAAUGUGUUUAAUAAUUGUUUACUGUUAAAAUAAAGAUUUAAAAUGCCAUAUAUUAUCGAAACAGUAGUUCCUCCCCAUUUUGGGAAACUAGAAAGAAUGUGUACAUACAACAGAUAUACAAAGAUAUUAGCUACCCGUAGUUUUCAGACUGUAUUCAAGACACAGCUCUGUUGCUAUGUGACAAUAUGGAAACAAGCAAGUGGCUGGGGCUGCCUCUGUAAUGGCAUCCCAUUCCCUAUAUAGUGCACAACUUUUGACCAGAGCCCUAUGGGUCCCGGUCAAAAGGAAUGCACUAUACAGGGAAUAGGGUGCCAUUUGAGACACAUCCUAGGUCUGAGAGAUACUAAUAUACAGUGCAAUGGGCUGUUCAGGGUGAAUAUUUUCCAAUCUGACCCACACCUCUCCCCGCGGCAAAUAAUAUUGUUCAAUUAAAAACUAUCAACAUAGAUUUACAAACCAGCAGCUUGCAACUCUGGCAAAGCUGUUACUGUAGCAAUGGUGUCCUCUAUUGCCGUCAUGGAACAAGCAGGUCACAGCGUUGUUCGCUACCUAAAACAAAUAGGCUCCAUACACACUAAAGUUGAGGUACAAAGUAUUUUACACAAUGGAUGUGGUAUGGAUGUGAUACAAUUGUUAUUUUUGUGAUCCAAAGGAGUUUGUCUGCACACAAAUGUUCACACAACCAUUGUGCUGUCUCCGCAACAGUGGUGUAACACUUUUGUCAAAUUGGUUGUACAUCAGUUGUGCAAACAGAUUUUGUCACAGUUGCCCCUGCAUUUCCCUGGUGAUAAUAUGGGAGACACGUGUUAGGAUUUUAUUGAGAUGCAAAACGCUGGACUGUAAAGAUAAAACAUAGAAACCACUUGUUUGGAGCAAUUAUUGAUUGAUUUUUAUUUUGACCUACUGUACUCUUUUGAUAGCUUACUAUACGUAUGUUUUUGUGAGCACAUGCCAUUGUUUAGGACAUUAAAAUAAGGAUGUGGCACAGAAAGGAAAACAAAUGAAUAAUGUAACGUAGCUCAUUAAUAUUCACCUCAUCAUUUUGAUUAAUCACAAAAUGUUUAACUUGUAAUUGUGGCACCACAGAUGUGCUCCUAUGUUUUUCUCAUUGGGUGGAAAUUCCAGGCCAGGCACCAUCAAACGGUAUGAUUGUGAGCGAUAGCAAAUUACUCUGCAUUGAUGUGUAAUAUUUCAUCAACAAUAUGAAUAAAG